AUGGAGGACCUGCUGAUCGACUUCAAGGCCAGAGGAGCAGGCUCACGAGAAGGAGCUGGGCUGUAGCAAGACAGAGUGCUGAGAACCUGACCCCUGCACAAGUCAAGGCCACUGUGUGGACCUUAUGGAUUAGCCACCGCUGCGACUGCUACUGGCCCUACCACAGUCACAGCUUCUCCAAUGGCGGAGCAUUGCCAGAACAGAGGAGAGUGUACUACUACAUGGAAUUACUUUGUGUGUUGGUGUCCUGUUGCUUUCACCGGGAAGACCUGCGAGACAUGUGUGUGGUGUGUCAAAGACCAAUGGUGGCCAUUGUGUGGACCUGGCUGACGGAUAUGAGUGUGUGACCAACGCUGCCUUCGAGAUCAACCCAGUGCAACUCAGUGCAGAGGGUUCCCUGGGCUUGCCGCUGACCCAAGUGUACCUG
RNAcentral lists this long non-coding RNA (427 nucleotides) under Salmo salar (Atlantic salmon). RNAcentral's name for it is "lncRNA (ENSSSAG00000117371.1)". The record is from RNAcentral. Lineage: Eukaryota; Metazoa; Chordata; Actinopteri; Salmoniformes; Salmonidae.